ACGGAGGAUGCGAGCGUUAUCCGGAUUUAUUGGGUUUAAAGGGUGCGUAGGUGGACUGUUUAGUCAGUGGUGAAAUACUGAUGCUCAACGUUAGCAUUGCCGUUGAAACUGACAGUCUUGAGAGUGAUUGAGGCAGGCGGAAUGCGGGGUGGUGGGGAAAAAAAGACAAAAAUCCCACAGAAGCCAGAUUGGGUGGGGAUCUUGCAAAGCCACAACUGACUCUGAAGCACGAAAGCGUGGGGAUCAAACAG
This 251-nucleotide ribosomal RNA is filed under the name uncultured prokaryote. RNAcentral describes it as "partial 16S rRNA". It matches the Rfam family "Bacterial small subunit ribosomal RNA", at positions 525 to 775 of the family's 1533-position model. The record is from RNAcentral.